Molecule: long non-coding RNA, 4686 nt
Organism: Gallus gallus (chicken)
Lineage: Eukaryota; Metazoa; Chordata; Aves; Galliformes; Phasianidae
Source: Ensembl
UUUUAUUUCAUUUUUUCACUAUUUGCACCCUUCUUUCUUUGCAUCGUAAAUACAAAAUAUUGACAACUAUUUAUGUAAAAUACUGCUCUUUUUGAGUCAGGAAAUCUGCUCCCUAUGAGGAAAGCCAUAAAGUUGCUGUCAGUGCUGUCGCUCCAGUUGCGACUGUCCAGCGGUUGUAAGACACUGCAUCUGGCUCUACUUAUCUUUUUAGUAGAUUACACUAAAGUGAAUCCUUAAGGCUAAACCCUCUAAUUUACUGAAACACAUGCACAUAAAAUUACAGCUGUCUCGCAAAAGCUUUCAUUGAUUUGAACAGAGCUGGGAUUCAUUUAAGUGGUUAUAAAACUUAGAUAAGCAAACUUCUUUCAAAACCAGCAGGAAAAAAAAAAACGCAACAGCAAAAUACCAAAACCCAAACACCCCCAACCUGCCAAACAGAGCUAAUUACUGGUUUAUUGAUUGGCACCUUAUUCUUCACCUCUGUGUCCGCUGACACCAUUUCUCCUGCGUUCCUUGGCUCCAUGUGCACGUUGGUCCCACACAGAGGGAAGAAUUUGGCAGGAAAAUAGGGCGUUUGUUGAGGUAAAAACACAGUUUUGCUCUCAAAAGCAAAUACGUGUAUUGUGUAAUGUUCAUCUCUCUGAAAGUCAACUGCCUAAAAUUUGGACAUCUGAAGGCAAGGCAGUCCCAGAUUGUCUGCUAAGGACAAAGAGAACCUAUAGAAAAAGAAAGAUGAUUAUUUUCAGGCAUCUUAAAUCAUCUAAAGCUGUAGGACGUACCGUACCCUUCUGUGCACCUCUGGGGACCAAUGUAAAACACUGCGGAGAUGGGGAGUGAGUUUCCUGUAGAGACUCAGACAGAUGUGCCCAGCUGUCCUCCCAGGGCUGUUUCAUAGUGCCGGCCUCACCCUGUUGCGUUGCCCAGCUCAGGGCAUUCAUUGCACCUCUGAAGUUGGUUACAUGACAGUAAUUUCAUUACUGUAAGACAGCUUGGGGUGUUUCAAAACAGCCCUUAGGGCUUUGCUCUGAACUUUGUUGUCUGCAUCAGAAGUGUUUGAGAAAGCCACUGAAAUCGCAGAGAGAAAAUGCAUCUAUUGGUUUUCUACAGAGAUGGUAACGUGUUGGCAGAAGGUGGUGCUGUUACCUGAUGUUGCCGCAGAUAACUGCCAUGUCAUGGAACAAAACCCAUGACUUGAAAAAAGGUAUUUUCUUCCCACAGCCAUAGGUGUGCUACAUAAAUAGAUACAGAUGAGGUUUCCCAGUCCCUGAGAUAUAAUGAAGUGUUCUUCGUUAGAAGUCAGGCACCCGGGCCAACAUUUCUUCCAACAGAAAGCAGGAUAUUGGGUGAAUAGUGCUCACAGAGAAAUAAUUGCCACUGCAUGAUGGCUUUCCAAUGGGGUGGCCGAUUUCACCCAGAAGCACAGGGUCCCAUGGGCUGGGUGUCAUAACAGCAGAAAGCAAAAGAUGUGUGAUAUAAGGGAUGGCUGGAAGUUCCAGAAUGCCUUUUGAGAGCCGUAUGCCUUCACACCCAGAGGUCAGGAGAGAACCCAGAGGGAGGUUUGGUUUGGAAAAAGCUCUUCUGAUUUCUAUCUUCUGCGAGCUUAACGCGGUCAGGUGGCACGUUGUGCUGGGUUGGGUGUAUGGAGCAAUUCACAUGUGUGGCACACAUCACUUCGGGGCUCUUCAGAAACAUCUCACAUCCUAUUGACAAGGGGACAAUCUGUAGCUAAUGAUACACUGAUAACGAGGCUCAUUCUGAGCCUGUAGAAUACAUACAGAUUGUAUUUGCAGGCUUUGUGUUAUCAUCAUAAAAGCCAGAAACUUCUCUUGUGUUUAAUGAAAGAUGAAUGAUUUUUGCCUAUUUCUGUGCCUGUAGAAAGCCCAGUGGAGGUUGUGGUUAUGAUUUAUGGCAUUGGAGCAGAACGUGUGUGCAAAUAGAAAUCAUUGUGUUGUUUCCUAUAAUUCAGUGUUGAUUCCUAUAACUCAUGUUAACUAAGGGAUUAGAAGUUGUGUCAAUUCAAAGCUUUAUCUAUUUCUGGGUUAGAACUUGGGCUGCUGGCAACCCUGUGCUGUUACCGUACUUGGACCCCACUGAAAGUUCCUGAUUCAGAAAAUGUUUGAACUGGUGAAAGCUCCUGAAUUGUCUGACUGGUGUGUAUCAGCUGAGGUAUCAACCUGUGUUCCAGAGUGCUGUGAUGAGUUUUUAUAUUCAAGAGGUCUGGAGUAUCCAGAUAUACAUCAGUGAGGGGGGGGGGGGGGGGGGGGGGGAAUAGUCCAGGGCAUGCAAUAGAUGCAUCAGGAUUUGUGCUCUCUGCUGAAUUGCCUCAGCAUGGAGAGCAGCAGUGCAUCUGGAAGGGCUGGAAAUAUGUGUGUGUAUGGUACAGAGGGGGCUGUGAUACUGCGGCGUUCACAGCUGGGCAGCAUGGGCUCUGAAUUUCAGAGAUUAAUUUGCACAGUUGCAUUUUGGGCCAUAUUUUCAAACUUGAGAAAGCUCAGCUUGGAUUCUGUUGUUAGAACAGCUUUGUGGAGGGACACAUAGCCCACGAGUACCUGAAUUUAGGUCUGGGGGGUGCCCAGCAAUCAGGAUCAGGCAUUUAGAGACCAGGCACCACGCCAUCCCAUCAGAGGAAAGAGACAGAACUGGUCAGAUGGCGUUUAAGAUACAAUUCAGUCUGAGAGCUAAAGGCUCUUGCAGGAUUUUCAGACCUUGAACAUAAGGCUUCUUUUUUUUUUCCAAUUGGAUUUCACGGUUGAAACGUGGUGUAAGAAUUGCGAGGCUAGGGAGCAAAUAGCUUUUUAUGGAGAUUUGAAUUACAUUUUACACUUGAAAAAUCAGUCUAAGCAGUGAGUGGAAGGGCCUGGCGCCCUGUCUGCGCCCCAGUCCUGCUGCUGGCAGCCUGCACAUGGAGCGCUGGGUGGGGAAGGGAAAGGGAGCGCCGUGGGGGGAUGGCUGCUUCUGCCUCUGAAGCCCUCCAUAGCAGCCACUGGCAGUUUGAGGGGACUGAGUGAUGGAUGGAGUGGUUGGCAGGCCGUGCCCAUGGCAGGGGUUGGAACUGGGUGCUCUUUGGGAUGCCCUCCACCAACCCAGGCUGUUCUGUGAGGUUAGCUUUCAUUUGCCCUCCAACAAGUGAUAGAGGGAGGAGGGGUGGUUGUUGCUUUCUGGAUGGCUGCCAUCAAUGCGGUAAGGUGUCAUUUGCUUGAGCUGAAGUCUCCUCUGCUGACAAAUACCACUGCCACUCCAGUAGAAUAUUUAAGGCCAUUGAUCCUUAGUAUUCAUCUGAUCAUGGUGACAUGGACCGUGUCCUCCUGUCUGUGAAAAUCCAGCAAUUCUCUGCAGGACUGCAGGUAGUCCUCAAAGCAUCUGCAGAGCUUCCCAUGGCGUGUGCUGAGAGGUGUAUCUUUGUUUGAUUCUGUGAUUAACAUCGACUGCACAGAAUUACAGCUUUCCAGCGCCAGCUCAAACACCGAGGAAUCCCUGCCACCAUAAAGCUAUAAUUGCUGAAUUAAUAACAGCGGGUUCUGGAGAGUGACUGCACAGACUCUCUGACCCAGGUUCAUAAAUAGUAACAUCCCUUUGUCCCGGAACAAGUUCCUAUCUUUUGUUUCUCUUUGUCAUUCCCCUCAAUCUCUGUCCUCUUGAGGCUGAAGGUAAUGGGCCCUUCCAUUUUGUGCGCACUGACUGAGUGAAGGCUGGGCCAUUGCCCCUUUGCUUUGAAGUCCACUGCAUUUGUGAUUUUUCUUUGAUCAUCGCUGUGGAAAAGCCUGAAAUGUUUUUCUCAGCAGUUUGUAUGCACACAAGCAUGAGAGCUGAGAACCUCAGUCAAGGUUUGUCUGAUGUCCCGAGUGCUGCCCGGGUGUUCCAUCGGCACCAACAGAGGCUGACUGAUGGGCUCCAGUUCAGACAUACGAAGGGUGGCAAGCAGAGGCAGCGUUCUGAGGUCCAUUUAAUUAAUCUGCAGACCGCAAGUCCCUCAGAACUGGAUGUCCUCAUCCCCAGGGCUGUCAGCCACACCAUGUCCUGUCCCUGCCGGCUGCACAGCAACAGUGGCGACACGGCUGCAUUGCUGGGGAGAUGGAAGCCCAACGUGUGUCAUCUCUGAGGCUGCUCGAGUUCCUCUUCAGCGCUUCGCAGGGGAAGACCAGAGAAAUAAUAAGGCUUUGUAUGAGUGAUAAGACUGUAUCGUGAUGGCUGUUCGCUUCCUAACAGAUGGGACAGAGAUGCAGGUAGGGUGGAGGGGCCACAAAGGCAACUGAUGGAGAAGUUUCUUUGGAGUCUGCUGUUCUUUUUUGCUUCAUUUAUAUUUCAUUAGGCAUGAAAUUACGUUUAUAAUUGUAUUAGACAACUGUGUGAGAUAUUAGAUCAUAAGCCUAGACUGAAUUAAAGCCAUUUUUAAUUAGUUAUUGAUUUAUUCUGUUUCGUCAUUUUUAAUGAAAUGAUGCCCCUGAAUUCAAAGCGCUGGUGCAGGUGUGUUAUCUUAAUUCAUAGAACUAGCACUCUGCUUACCUCCCAACCAACCAAGAGAAUGGAAGUGGCUGUUCUUCAACACAGUUGUUGUAUCAGCCACUGAUGUGCGUCUGCACAAGGGGGGGGUGAAGGAAAGAGACAGCGCACUCCAGAAGAGACAAGAGGAGGGAGCCCUGGGCUGCAGGCACACUGCUGGGAGGAGACAGGGCUGAGCAAAACCCA